CCUACGGGGGGCAGCAGUGAGGAAUAUUGGUCAAUGGACGAGAGUCUGAACCAGCCAAGUAGCGUGAAGGAUGACUGCCCUAUGGGUUGUAAACUUCUUUUAUAUGGGAAUAAAAUGUUCCACGUGUGGGAUUUUGUAUGUACCAUAUGAAUAAGGAUCGGCUAACUCCGUGCCAGCAGCCGCGGUAAUACGGAGGAUCCGAGCGUUAUCCGGAUUUAUUGGGUUUAAAGGGAGAGUAGGUGGAUUGUUAAGUCAGUUGUGAAAGUUUGCGGCUCAACCGUAAAAUUGCAGUUGAAACGGGCAGUCUUGAGUACAGUAGAGGUGGGCGGAAUUCGUGGUGUAGCGGUGAAAUGCUUAGAUAUCACGAAGAACGCCGAUUGCGAAGGCAGUUCACUGGACUGCAACUGACACUGAGGCUCGAAAGUGUGGGUAUCAAACAGGAUUAGAUACCCUGGUAGUC
RNAcentral lists this ribosomal RNA (460 nucleotides) under uncultured bacterium. Its description in RNAcentral is "partial 16S ribosomal RNA". It matches the Rfam family "Bacterial small subunit ribosomal RNA", at positions 338 to 795 of the family's 1533-position model. The record is from RNAcentral.